CCUGAGAAACCCAAAAGANCGAAUGGGGAGAUUCAUCGUUAGCGNANNUGGUACGUGUGCGGUUCGCGAUGCCUGAGACUUCGGUUCCGCGGCACGCGUCCGCAUGUUUUUAUUACCUGGUAACGUCAGCGUGCACUUCUCCCCUAGUAGGACGUCGUGGCCCGUUGGGUGUCGGUCCACGGCCCGGUCGGGUGCCUGUCUCGUGUGCGCUUCACGGCGUCACUGCGGGGCAGACUACCGGUUACCUGGCCGGCUGCCCGGCAGUACUCGCAAGGUAUUCAGCCGCAAAUAUUCGAACUGCGUCCGGCCCGUCGCAAGCGGGGCCAGUGUUUCCCGAAUGUACGGAUCUAAUGCCUCCAUCGGGCCUGCCUAGCUGUUCGCUGACGGUGUCCUAGGACCGGCUGUAACAAAAUUAUGAUACCGGUCAGAGACGCUACUGCUGCUAGGUAUCCUACUGCUUUGGAUACCUUCAGGACCCGUCUUGAAACACGGACCAAGGAGUCUAACAUGUGCGCGAGUCAUUGGGACUUAUUAAGNCUAAAGGCGCAAUGAAAGUGANGGUCGUCCUUGCGCCGACCGAGGNACGAUAGGCCGGUCUCUCAANGGNUCGGUCCCG
This 616-nucleotide ribosomal RNA is filed under the name Woldstedtius sp. SK21. RNAcentral's name for it is "eukaryotic LSU rRNA". Lineage: Eukaryota; Metazoa; Arthropoda; Insecta; Hymenoptera; Ichneumonidae. The record is from RNAcentral.